CCUACGGGAGGCAGCAGGAGGGAAUCUUCCACAAUGGGCGCAAGCCUGAUGGAGCAACACCGCGUGAGUGAAGAAGGGUUACGGAUCGUAAAGCUCUGUUGGUGGAGAAGAACGUGCGUGAGAGUAACUGUUCCCGCAGUGACGGUAUCAAACCAGAAAGUCACGGCUUACUACGUGCCAGCAGCCGCGGUAAUACGUAGGUGGCAAGCGUUAUCCGGAUUUAUUGGGCGGAAAGAGGGCGAAGGCGGUUGCUUAGGUCUGAUGUUAAAGCCUUCGGCUUAACCGCAGAAGUGCAUCGGAAACCGGUCAACUUGAGUGCAGCAGAGGACAGUGGAACUCCAUGUGUAGCG
Molecule: ribosomal RNA, 350 nt
Filed under: uncultured bacterium
Lineage: Bacteria
Description: partial 16S ribosomal RNA
Rfam family: Bacterial small subunit ribosomal RNA
Source: RNAcentral